UACGAAGGGGGCUAGCGUUGCUCGGAAUUACUGGGCGUAAAGGGCGCGUAGGCGGCACUGUUAGUCAGGCGUGAAAGUCCUGGGCUCAACCUGGGAACUGCGCUUGAUACGGCAGAGCUAGAGGAUGGAAGAGGCUCGCGGAAUUCCCAGUGUAGAGGUGAAAUUCGUAGAUAUUGGGAAGAACACCGGUGGCGAAGGCGGCGAGCUGGUCCAUUACUGACGCUGAGGAGCGAAAGCGUGGGGAGCGAACAGG
RNAcentral lists this ribosomal RNA (253 nucleotides) under uncultured bacterium. RNAcentral describes it as "partial 16S ribosomal RNA". It matches the Rfam family "Bacterial small subunit ribosomal RNA", at positions 524 to 776 of the family's 1533-position model. The record is from RNAcentral.